CCUACGGGAGGCAGCAGUGAGGAAUAUUGGUCAAUGGCCGGAAGGCUGAACCAGCCAUGCCGCGUGAAGGUCAGUGCCCUAUGGGCGUUAAACUUCUUUUGUGCGGGAGCAAUAAUGGUCACGUGUGGCCAGACGAGAGUACCGUACGAAUAAGCAUCGGCUAACUCCGUGCCAGCAGCCGCCGUAAUACGGGGGAUGCAAGCGUUAUCCGGUUUUAUUGGGUGUAAAGGGUGCGUAGGCUGUGAGGUAAGUCAGCGGUGAAAUGCCCGCGCAACGGGGUGAAGUGCCAUUGAUACUGCAUUGCUGGAAUGCGGAUGCCGUGGGAGGAAUGUGUGGUGUAGCGGUGAAAUGCAUAGAUAUCACACAGAACACCGAUUGCGAAGGCA
RNAcentral lists this ribosomal RNA (386 nucleotides) under uncultured bacterium. Its description in RNAcentral is "partial 16S ribosomal RNA". It matches the Rfam family "Bacterial small subunit ribosomal RNA", at positions 338 to 723 of the family's 1533-position model. The record is from RNAcentral.